Molecule: long non-coding RNA, 1009 nt
Organism: Dermochelys coriacea (leatherback sea turtle)
Lineage: Eukaryota; Metazoa; Chordata; Testudines; Dermochelyidae
Exons: 3
Source: RefSeq, a predicted model, not a curated record
GCUGCUCAGCUGCUUCGCCACAGGUAAUGGUGGUGUGGAAGAAGAGAACCUCUCCAUGACUCUUGGGCGUAUGCAGCGACAGCAGAUCCAGGAGCUGUGCACUAGCUACGCGCCGAUGUUCUCAGCUGCCCUUGGACUGACUGAACGGGCAUACCACUCCCUUGACACAGGUAAUGCUCAUCCAAUUAAAGCCCAUUCAUACCGGGUGACUCCUCAAGCCAAAACUGCUAUAGAACGGGAAAUCCAGGACAUGCUACAGAUGGGUGUAAUCUGCCCCUCUAACAGUGCAUGGGCAUCUCCAGUGGUUCUAGUUCCCAAACCAAAUGGGAAAAUACGCUUUUGCGUGGACUACCGUAAACUAAAUGCUGUAACUCGCCCAAACAACUGUCCAAUGCUGUGCACAAAUAAGCUAUUAAAGAAACUGGGACAGGCCCAGUUCAUCUUUACCUUAAACUUAACCAAGGGGUAGUGGCAAGUACUGCUGAAUAAAUCCGCCAAGAAAAGGUCAGCCUUCACCACCCAUGUACAUCUUUAUAAAUUUAAUGUGCUCCCUUUCAGGCUGCAAAAUGUACCCGCCACCUUUCAAAAACUUGUAAAUAGUCUCCUAGAGGGAUUGGAAAAAUCUGCAGUUGCCUACCUUCAUAAUGUGGCCAUCUUUUCUGAUUCAUGGGCAAAACACCUGAGCAUCUGCAAAAAGUCUUUGAGUGCAUAAGGAAGGCAAAACUAACUAUUCAGGCUAAAAAGUGUCAAAUAGGCCUAAACAAAGUGACUUACUUUGGACACCAGGUGGGUCAAGAAACCAUCAACCCCCUACAGGCCAAAGUAAAUGCUAUUCAAAAGUGGCCUGUCCCAAAGUAAAAAAAAAACAGGUCCAAUCCUUCUUAGGCUUGGCCGAAUAUUACAGGUGAUUUGUACCGCACUAUAGCCAAAUCACCGCCCACCUACAAACCUAACCAAAAAAACUCAGCCAAACGCUGUUCAGUGAACUAAAAAGUGUCAAAAGGCCUUU